GUGUGUGUGUGUGAGUGUGUGUGUGUGUGUGUGUGUGUGUGUGUGUGUGUGUGCGCGUGCGUGUGUGUGUGUAGGUAUGCAUGUCUCGGGACUUUAGGAAUGUUGCGUGUGGCAGGUACGGUGUGUGUGUGUUUGUGAAGAAUUGACUGGAGUCCGACGGGUGUGUAUGGAGAGGGAAAGAAACAGGGCAGUUGUUGGGUUAAGGAUAGAUUUGGAAGAUUUGGGGAAAUGUAACCCUUUAGGUCUAAGGACGCGUAUACGCAUCUUUUGAACAGGUCUGAUUUGGAACAUUGUAGCAGCAAAACUCCUCCUCCCUGAGUUUCAGUUACAAUUCAGCUUUAAAAAUGUUUGGAAUGAUUUAAGGUCUAAUAUGCAACCCCUUUAGGUCCCAAUAAAAUAUAUAGUUAUGAAUUCAUAUAGCCCAGGAUGUGCUGAAAAGGUUGAUACCGAAUAAGGCAGUUAUUAUGGUUUUUAUUUUGGAAAUACAAAGGAAAAUUCUAAAUUAGUCAAAAACGGCAAAUUACACCCUUAACCCAGAGGGAUGAGGUCCGGUCGAUGAGCGUGGGAGAGUUAAAGAGCGGGUCAAUUGAGCCUCGGAGUCCUUCUCCACCCACGUAUCAAUUUUAAAAAAUGCAACAUUAGUAGGCGUUGCCUGGAGGAGCGAGAGGGCGGAGCCGCGGCAGUGACGAAGACGAUGGCUAACUAGACGAAGCUAGCUCCCUUCACUCUGAGCAGUUGAUAGAAGUGGAGGACGUUUCUCCCCCUCCUUACAGACACUCGAGAAGAAAGGGACCAAGUCUAUUUGGAGGAGACAAGCGGACCUGAGUCUUAUUGUUUUGAGCUUGUGAGUUGCCUGAAACUCCCAGAACCGACCCAACAGAAUCACCUCUGAAAGGUCCUCUGGUGUCUGCAGCUGGUCUCUGGUGUCUGCAGCUGGUCUCCUCUGCUGGUGUCCUCAGGAUCAGGAACUUCCAGAAGAAUGUGCCUUUCAAUGACUCUUUCCCCCUUAUUUGUUAUAUUAAUUAAAUAAAUCUCAAUUUAUAUA
Nothobranchius furzeri (turquoise killifish) is the source of this 1045-nucleotide long non-coding RNA. RefSeq lists it as uncharacterized. Lineage: Eukaryota; Metazoa; Chordata; Actinopteri; Cyprinodontiformes; Nothobranchiidae. The record is from RefSeq and is a predicted model, not a curated record.